This 252-nucleotide ribosomal RNA is filed under the name uncultured bacterium. RNAcentral's name for it is "partial 16S ribosomal RNA". It matches the Rfam family "Bacterial small subunit ribosomal RNA", at positions 524 to 776 of the family's 1533-position model. The record is from RNAcentral.
UACGUAGGUCCCGAGCGUUGUCCGGAUUUAUUGGGCGUAAAGCGAGCGCAGGUGGUUUAUUAAGUCUGGUGUAAAAGGCAGUGGCUCAACCAUUGUAUGCAUUGGAAACUGGUAGACUUGAGUGCAGGAGAGGAGAGUGGAAUUCCAUGUGUAGCGGUGAAAUGCGUAGAUAUAUGGAGGAACACCGGUGGCGAAAGCGGCUCUCUGGCCUGUAACUGACGUUGAGGCACGAAAGUGUGGGGAGCAAACAGG